UAGGGUGAACCUGCGGAAGGAUCAUUACCUUUCAAUGCAGCAGAAUUGGGAUGGUUGAGUAUCUCGCCUCUCAGUUCUGCCUGUAUUCUACCCUUGNUUUGUCAUAUACUAUUAUUUCCUCGGCAGGCUUGCCUGCCGAGUGAAACCAUUUAUAACCUUUUUAAUUUUCAAUCAGCGUCUGAAAAAAAUUAAUAAUUACAACUUUCAACAACGGAUCUCUUGGUUCUGGCAUCGAUGAAGAACGCAGCGAAAUGCGAUAAGUAGUGUGAAUUGCAGAAUUCAGUGAAUCAUCGAAUCUUUGAACGCACAUUGCGCCCCUUGGUAUUCCAUGGGGCAUGCCUGUUCGAGCGUCAUUUGUACCUUCAAGCUUUGCUUGGUGUUGGGUGUUUGUCCCGAGGGACUCGCCUUAAAGUAAUUGGCAGCCAGUGUUUGGUUUUGAAGCGCAGCACAAGUCGCGAUUCAAGGCUACACGCCCGCUUCCACAAGCCAUUUUCACUUUUGACCUCGGAUCAGGUAGGGAUACCCGCUGAACUUAAGCAUAUCAAUAA
RNAcentral lists this ribosomal RNA (548 nucleotides) under fungal endophyte. RNAcentral's name for it is "eukaryotic LSU rRNA". The stretch from base 200 to 353 matches the Rfam family "5.8S ribosomal RNA". Lineage: Eukaryota; Fungi. The record is from RNAcentral.